Molecule: ribosomal RNA, 496 nt
Filed under: uncultured bacterium
Lineage: Bacteria
Description: partial 16S ribosomal RNA
Rfam family: Bacterial small subunit ribosomal RNA
Source: RNAcentral
GAUGAACGCUGGCGGCGUGCCUAAUACAUGCAAGUCGAGCGAAAAGACGAGGAGCUUGCUCCUCUGACGUUAGCGGCGGACGGGUGAGUAACACGUGGAUAACCUACCUAUAAGACUGGGAUCACUUCGGGAAACCGGAGCUAAUACGGGAUAAUAUAUUGAACCGCAUGGUUCAAUGGAGAAAGACGGUGUUGCGGUAACGUAUAGAUGGAUACGCGCCGCAUUAGCUAGUUGGUAAGGUAACGGCUUACCAAGGCAACGAUGCGUAGCCGACCGGUGGGGGUGUUGGGCCCCUCAGGAAGUGACACGCCGUCCAGGCUCCGACGGGCGGCAGCGGUAGCGAAUCUUCCGAAAAGGGCGGAAGCCUGACGGAGCAACGCAGGGUGGGUGAUGAAGGGCCUCGGGUCGGAAAACGCUGUUAUUGGGGAAGAACGAAUGUGCAAGUAACUAAGCACGUCUGAAGGGUACCGGAACAGAAAGCCCCGCCUACCUCCUU